Molecule: ribosomal RNA, 2103 nt
Filed under: Escherichia coli
Lineage: Bacteria; Pseudomonadati; Pseudomonadota; Gammaproteobacteria; Enterobacterales; Enterobacteriaceae
Description: partial 23S ribosomal RNA
Rfam family: Bacterial large subunit ribosomal RNA
Source: RNAcentral
AGACCCGAAACCCGGUGAUCUAGCCAUGGGCAGGUUGAAGGUUGGGUAACACUAACUGGAGGACCGAACCGACUAAUGUUGAAAAAUUAGCGGAUGACUUGUGGCUGGGGGUGAAAGGCCAAUCAAACCGGGAGAUAGCUGGUUCUCCCCGAAAGCUAUUUAGGUAGCGCCUCGUGAAUUCAUCUCCGGGGGUAGAGCACUGUUUCGGCAAGGGGGUCAUCCCGACUUACCAACCCGAUGCAAACUGCGAAUACCGGAGAAUGUUAUCACGGGAGACACACGGCGGGUGCUAACGUCCGUCGUGAAGAGGGAAACAACCCAGACCGCCAGCUAAGGUCCCAAAGUCAUGGUUAAGUGGGAAACGAUGUGGGAAGGCCCAGACAGCCAGGAUGUUGGCUUAGAAGCAGCCAUCAUUUAAAGAAAGCGUAAUAGCUCACUGGUCGAGUCGGCCUGCGCGGAAGAUGUAACGGGGCUAAACCAUGCACCGAAGCUGCGGCAGCGACACUGUGUGUUGUUGGGUAGGGGAGCGUUCUGUAAGCCUGUGAAGGUGUGCUGUGAGGCAUGCUGGAGGUAUCAGAAGUGCGAAUGCUGACAUAAGUAACGAUAAAGCGGGUGAAAAGCCCGCUCGCCGGAAGACCAAGGGUUCCUGUCCAACGUUAAUCGGGGCAGGGUGAGUCGACCCCUAAGGCGAGGCCGAAAGGCGUAGUCGAUGGGAAACAGGUUAAUAUUCCUGUACUUGGUGUUACUGCGAAGGGGGGACGGAGAAGGCUAUGUUGGCCGGGCGACGGUUGUCCCGGUUUAAGCGUGUAGGCUGGUUUUCCAGGCAAAUCCGGAAAAUCAAGGCUGAGGCGUGAUGACGAGGCACUACGGUGCUGAAGCAACAAAUGCCCUGCUUCCAGGAAAAGCCUCUAAGCAUCAGGUAACAUCAAAUCGUACCCCAAACCGACACAGGUGGUCAGGUAGAGAAUACCAAGGCGCUUGAGAGAACUCGGGUGAAGGAACUAGGCAAAAUGGUGCCGUAACUUCGGGAGAAGGCACGCUGAUAUGUAGGUGAAGUCCCUCGCGGAUGGAGCUGAAAUCAGUCGAAGAUACCAGCUGGCUGCAACUGUUUAUUAAAAACACAGCACUGUGCAAACACGAAAGUGGACGUAUACGGUGUGACGCCUGCCCGGUGCCGGAAGGUUAAUUGAUGGGGUCAGCGCAAGCGAAGCUCUUGAUCGAAGCCCCGGUAAACGGCGGCCGUAACUAUAACGGUCCUAAGGUAGCGAAAUUCCUUGUCGGGUAAGUUCCGACCUGCACGAAUGGCGUAAUGAUGGCCAGGCUGUCUCCACCCGAGACUCAGUGAAAUUGAACUCGCUGUGAAGAUGCAGUGUACCCGCGGCAAGACGGAAAGACCCCGUGAACCUUUACUAUAGCUUGACACUGAACAUUGAGCCUUGAUGUGUAGGAUAGGUGGGAGGCUUUGAAGUGUGGACGCCAGUCUGCAUGGAGCCGACCUUGAAAUACCACCCUUUAAUGUUUGAUGUUCUAACGUGGACCCGUGAUCCGGGUUGCGGACAGUGUCUGGUGGGUAGUUUGACUGGGGCGGUCUCCUCCUAAAGAGUAACGGAGGAGCACGAAGGUUGGCUAAUCCUGGUCGGACAUCAGGAGGUUAGUGCAAUGGCAUAAGCCAGCUUGACUGCGAGCGUGACGGCGCGAGCAGGUGCGAAAGCAGGUCAUAGUGAUCCGGUGGUUCUGAAUGGAAGGGCCAUCGCUCAACGGAUAAAAGGUACUCCGGGGAUAACAGGCUGAUACCGCCCAAGAGUUCAUAUCGACGGCGGUGUUUGGCACCUCGAUGUCGGCUCAUCACAUCCUGGGGCUGAAGUAGGUCCCAAGGGUAUGGCUGUUCGCCAUUUAAAGUGGUACGCGAGCUGGGUUUAGAACGUCGUGAGACAGUUCGGUCCCUAUCUGCCGUGGGCGCUGGAGAACUGAGGGGGGCUGCUCCUAGUACGAGAGGACCGGAGUGGACGCAUCACUGGUGUUCGGGUUGUCAUGCCAAUGGCACUGCCCGGUAGCUAAAUGCGGAAGAGAUAAGUGCUGAAAGCAUCUAAGCACGAAACUUGC